Molecule: ribosomal RNA, 188 nt
Filed under: uncultured Geobacillus sp.
Lineage: Bacteria; Bacillati; Bacillota; Bacilli; Caryophanales; Anoxybacillaceae
Description: partial 16S ribosomal RNA
Rfam family: Bacterial small subunit ribosomal RNA
Source: RNAcentral
AUGCCCCUUAUGACCUGGGCUACACACGUGCUACAAUGGGCGGUACAAAGGGCUGCGAACCCGCGAGGGGGAGCGAAUCCCAAAAAGCCGCUCUCAGUUCGGAUUGCAGGCUGCAACUCGCCUGCAUGAAGCCGGAAUCGCUAGUAAUCGCGGAUCAGCAUGCCGCGGUCGAAUACGUUCCGGGCCUU